This 433-nucleotide ribosomal RNA is filed under the name uncultured bacterium. RNAcentral's name for it is "partial 16S ribosomal RNA". It matches the Rfam family "Bacterial small subunit ribosomal RNA", at positions 29 to 507 of the family's 1533-position model. The record is from RNAcentral.
AACGAACGCUGGCGGCAUGCCUAACACAUGCAAGUCGAACGAGACCUUCGGGUCUAGUGGCGCACGGGUGCGUAACGCGUGGGAACCUGCCCUUAGGUUCGGAAUAACUCCCCGAAAGGGGUGCUAAUACCGGAUAAUGUCUUCGGACCAAAGAUUUAUCGCCUUUGGAUGGGCCCGGGUUGGAUUAGAUAGUUGGUAGGGUAAAAGCCUACCAAGGCGACGAUCCAUAGCUGGUCUGAGAGGAUGAUCAGCCACACUGGGACUGAGACACGGCCCAGACUCCUACGGGAGGCAGCAGUGGGGAAUAUUGGACAAUGGGCGAAAGCCUGAUCCAGCCAUGCCGCGUGAGUGAUGAAGGCCUUAGGGUUGUAAAGCUCUUUUACCCGGGAUGAUAAUGACAGUACCGGGAGAAUAAGCUCCGGCUAACUCCGUG